GAGGAUCGAACUCCUGACCUCCUGCGUGCAAAGCAGGCGCUCUCCCAGCUGAGCUAUGGCCCCGUAUCGGAUCACG
Molecule: transfer RNA, 76 nt
Filed under: Pseudomonas aeruginosa
Lineage: Bacteria; Pseudomonadati; Pseudomonadota; Gammaproteobacteria; Pseudomonadales; Pseudomonadaceae
Description: tRNA-Ala
Source: RNAcentral